UCCGUAGGUGAACCUGCGGAAGGAUCAUUACCGAGUUUUCGGGCUUCGGCUCGACUCUCCCACCCUUUGUGAACGUACCUCUGUUGCUUUGGCGGCUCCGGCCGCCAAAGGACCUCCAAACUCCAGUCAGUAAACGCAGACGUCUGAUAAACAAGUUAAUAAACUAAAACUUUCAACAACGGAUCUCUUGGUUCUGGCAUCGAUGAAGAACGCAGCGAAAUGCGAUAAGUAAUGUGAAUUGCAGAAUUCAGUGAAUCAUCGAAUCUUUGAACGCACAUUGCGCCCCUUGGUAUUCCGGGGGGCAUGCCUGUUCGAGCGUCAUUACAACCCUCAAGCUCUGCUUGGAAUUGGGCACCGUCCUCACUGCGGACGCGCCUCAAAGACCUCGGCGGUGGCUGUUCAGCCCUCAAGCGUAGUAGAAUACACCUCGCUUUGGAGUGGUUGGCGUCGCCCGCCGGACGAACCUUCUGAACUUUUCUCAAGGUUGACCUCGGAUCAGGUAGGGAUAC
RNAcentral lists this ribosomal RNA (509 nucleotides) under Lasiodiplodia pseudotheobromae. RNAcentral's name for it is "eukaryotic LSU rRNA". The stretch from base 168 to 321 matches the Rfam family "5.8S ribosomal RNA". Lineage: Eukaryota; Fungi; Ascomycota; Dothideomycetes; Botryosphaeriales; Botryosphaeriaceae. The record is from RNAcentral.